This 349-nucleotide ribosomal RNA is filed under the name Escherichia coli. Its description in RNAcentral is "partial 23S ribosomal RNA". It matches the Rfam family "Bacterial large subunit ribosomal RNA", at positions 1273 to 1625 of the family's 2925-position model. Lineage: Bacteria; Pseudomonadati; Pseudomonadota; Gammaproteobacteria; Enterobacterales; Enterobacteriaceae. The record is from RNAcentral.
CUGGAGGUAUCAGAAGUGCGAAUGCUGACAUAAGUAACGAUAAAGCGGGUGAAAAGCCCGCUCGCCGGAAGACCAAGGGUUCCUGUCCAACGUUAAUCGGGGCAGGGUGAGUCGACCCCUAAGGCGAGGCCGAAAGGCGUAGUCGAUGGGAAACAGGUUAAUAUUCCUGUACUUGGUGUUACUGCGAAGGGGGGACGGAGAAGGCUAUGUUGGCCGGGCGACGGUUGUCCCGGUUUAAGCGUGUAGGCUGGUUUUCCAGGCAAAUCCGGAAAAUCAAGGCUGAGGCGUGAUGACGAGGCACUACGGUGCUGAAGCAACAAAUGCCCUGCUUCCAGGAAAAGCCUCUAAG